CCUACGGGGUGCUGCAGUGAGGAAUAUUGGUCAAUGGGAGAGAUCCUGAACCAGCCAAGCCGCGUGAGGGAAGACGGCCCUAUGGGUUGUAAACCUCUUUUGUCGGAGAACAAAACCCGGGACGUGUCCCGGUAUGCGUGUAUCCGAAGAAAAAGCAUCGGCUAACUCCGUUCCAGCAGCCGCGGUAAUACGGAGGAUGCGAGCGUUAUCCGGAUUUAUUGGGUUUAAAGGGUGCGUAGGCGGUCCGUUAAGUCAGCGGUAAAAGUGCGGGGCUCAACCCCGUCGCGCCGUUGAAACUGGCAGUCUUGAGUUGGCGAGAAGUACGCGGAAUGCGCGGUGUAGCGGUGAAAUGCAUAGAUAUCGCGCAGAACUCCGAUUGCGAAGGCAGCAUACCGGCGCCAGACUGACGCUGAGGCACGAAAGCGUGGGUAUCGAACAGGAUUAGAUACCCUGGUAGUC
This 459-nucleotide ribosomal RNA is filed under the name uncultured bacterium. Its description in RNAcentral is "partial 16S ribosomal RNA". It matches the Rfam family "Bacterial small subunit ribosomal RNA", at positions 338 to 795 of the family's 1533-position model. The record is from RNAcentral.